This 497-nucleotide ribosomal RNA is filed under the name uncultured bacterium. RNAcentral's name for it is "partial 16S ribosomal RNA". It matches the Rfam family "Bacterial small subunit ribosomal RNA", at positions 28 to 507 of the family's 1533-position model. The record is from RNAcentral.
GAUGAACGCUGGCGGCGUGCCUAACACAUGCAAGUCGAGCGAACGGACGAGAAGCUUGCUUCUCUGAUGUUAGCGGCGGACGGGUGAGUAACACGUGGAUAACCUACCUAUAUUACUGGGAUAAUUUCGGGAAACCGGAGCUACUACCGGAUGAUAUUUUGAACCGCAUGGUUCAAAAGUGAAAGACGGUCUUGCCGUCACUUAUAGCCGGAUCCGCGCUGCAUUAGCUAGUUGGUAAGGUAACGGCUUACCAAGGCAACGAUGCAUAGCCGACCUGAGAGGGUGAUCGGCCACACUGGAACUGAGACACGGUCCAGACUCCUACGGGAGGCAGCAGUAGGGAAUCUUCCGCAAUGGGCGAAAGCCUGACGGAGCAACGCCGCGUGAGUGAUGAAGGUCUUCGGAUCGUAAAACUCUGUUAUUAGGGAAGAACAUAUGUGUAAGUAACUGUGCACAUCUUGACGGUACCUAAUCAGAAAGCCACGGCUAACUACGUG